Long non-coding RNA from Etheostoma cragini (Arkansas darter), 132 nucleotides. RefSeq lists it as uncharacterized. The record is from RefSeq and is a predicted model, not a curated record. The transcript is spliced from 3 exons. NCBI's taxonomy places the organism in Eukaryota, Metazoa, Chordata, Actinopteri, Perciformes, Percidae.
CAUCCAAGUGUAGCUGCAGGUAUCUGUGAGGGCAAGAGAUGUUCAAAACUGGACAAGUAAAUUGUUCCCAGGGCAGGCUCAGUAACAAUUACCCCUGUAUGGUUGUCUAUAUACAAGUUACGUGAAUAUUUU